UACAAUUUAUAGGGUUUUCAGAAUGAAUGUCCACGCUACUUAUUUGUAUAUCAUUUACCAAAUUCUUAGAUGACAACUUACUACUAGAUACGGACCCAUAUAGCAUCUCUAUACAAUGUCUCAACUUGGACUUCAGAAUACCCUCAAACAGUUUUCAGAUCUAUAGAAGACAAUGAGAGAGCCACUUGUCUGGGGCCAGUAGGAGUAAUCAACAUCUGUAUCUAAACAGUCUCAAAAGAUCUGAGGUUUUUGUUCAAGGCCCUUCUCUUAAAGCUUCCACCUGGAAUUGACACACUCGAGUCUGUUUGUGCUUUUGGCCAAAGCAAUUCAUAAACUCAGGCCACUUGGGUUUAACAGGACCGAAAGGUAUAAUAUUCCGUUAGGGAUAUGAACUGAAUAUUGGUGAAUAUGAAUACGUCUACAACAAUUAACUGCAAGAAGACUUUAAAGCUGAGUGAAUGUAUAAAGUUUCUUUGUUUUUUAUUGGAAUCAUAUCAA
Long non-coding RNA from Mustela lutreola (European mink), 498 nucleotides. RefSeq lists it as uncharacterized. The record is from RefSeq and is a predicted model, not a curated record. NCBI's taxonomy places the organism in Eukaryota, Metazoa, Chordata, Mammalia, Carnivora, Mustelidae. The transcript is spliced from 3 exons.